This 179-nucleotide ribosomal RNA is filed under the name uncultured bacterium. RNAcentral describes it as "partial 16S ribosomal RNA". It matches the Rfam family "Bacterial small subunit ribosomal RNA", at positions 1325 to 1500 of the family's 1533-position model. The record is from RNAcentral.
GCUGGAAUUGCUAGUAAUGGCAGGUCAGCAUACUGCCGUGAAUACGUUCCCGGGGCCCUUGUACACACCGCCCGUCACACCAUGAGAGUUGGGAAUACCCGAAGCCUGUGAGCCAACUUUUAAAGAGGCAGCAGUCGAAGGUAGAAUCAAUGAUUGGGGUGAAGUCGUAACAAGGUAGC